UACGUAGGGUGCGAGCGUUGUCCGGAAUUAUUGGGCGUAAAGAGCUUGUAGGCGGUCUGUCGCGUCUGCUGUGAAAAUCCGGGGCUCAACCCCGGACUUGCAGUGGGUACGGGCAGACUAGAGUGUGGUAGGGGAGACUGGAAUUCCUGGUGUAGCAGUGAAAUGCGCAGAUAUCAGGAGGAACACCGAUGGCGAAGGCAGGUCUCUGGGCCACUACUGACGCUGAGAAGCGAAAGCAUGGGGAGCGAACAGG
This 253-nucleotide ribosomal RNA is filed under the name uncultured bacterium. Its description in RNAcentral is "partial 16S ribosomal RNA". It matches the Rfam family "Bacterial small subunit ribosomal RNA", at positions 524 to 776 of the family's 1533-position model. The record is from RNAcentral.